GACGUAGGUGGCGAACGUUAUCCGGAAUUAUUGGGCGUAAAGGAUGCGUAGAUGGUGUAGUAAGUUAUCGGUGGCAAAUCGAGGCUCAACCUCGUGGAAGUCGGUAAUACUGCUAUGCUAGAGGAUAGGAGAGGUUAACGGAACUCCCUGUGGAGCGGUGAAAUGCGCAGAUGUCAGGAGGAACACCGGUGGCGAAGGCGGGUCUCUGGGCCGAUACUGACGCUGAGGAGCGAAAGCGUGGGGAGCGAACAGG
Molecule: ribosomal RNA, 253 nt
Filed under: uncultured bacterium
Lineage: Bacteria
Description: partial 16S ribosomal RNA
Rfam family: Bacterial small subunit ribosomal RNA
Source: RNAcentral